UGGAAUAUAUAAUUUAUUAUAAGGAUAAGCUAGUAUGGGACAUGUGUGUGUGAGCUCAGUCUUUUUAUGCCUUGCCUGGACUGUGUUAACUUGAAACUUUGUUAACUUUUGUACCUUUUGGUGAUUUGAUGAGUAUAAACCGUCCUUCACGAGUGACAAGGUACGCGUGAACACUUAAAUGUGUCAUCAAUAUGGAUCGUCUCCUUCACGGUGCCCCUUUCCCCACCGAAACCUUCUCCCGUGUAACCAUGGGUUCCGCAUAGUCUAGGGCGCAGGCAGUGUUGGCAGCAAGUCCUCAGGUCCUGAACCCGAAGUCACCCACAGUUAACAUUAUCCCCAGGCCUCCUCCCAUUUCACAGGUAAGGCUAGCCGCUCCUCACCCCUACGUGGAGCGAGUUAGUGCUCAGGCAGGGCAAAAUAACUUUUAAAUAGUGUCUUAAGCAACACGAGGGAAAGGUGCCAGAGAGAAUGAUGAAAUCCAUUCGGAGUAUCAACUCCCCUGGGGAGGGCUGCGAUGCCCACCGACCCCACCCAGGCCGGCGCUGCUUCCCCUGAGUCUCCAAAUAUCACUGCCUUCGCGUCCCCCUCCAAACCCUCGCGUGGAUGAUUUAAAGCCGGCGCCCACGGACGUUCCUGGCUUGCCCAGCGCUGCGUCGCAGUUGUCAGGGAGACGGCGCCUCUGCGGGGAGAGCCACGCUGAGGGUUUCCACGGAAACCACUCCCGGGAGCGGCAGGUGCAGCCGGCUGAGCCGCCCAGGGCCGCGCCGGGGGCGGGGCGCUGGGGUGCAGACCCGCAGGGCCGUGGGGCGUGGCCGCCGGACUGCCAGGCAGCCCAGCCCUCGGCUAAAUACGUUAUUGUUAUUAUUAUUUUUUUUUUAAUAUAAAACACAACUUUGGGUGGAAGCUUUCGCUUUGCCAUUCCACUUGCAAAGCAGAGCCCUAAUUCCUCCGGGCCUGACACUGUUCAGGUCUCUCAGGGGAAGCAGCCAGCCUGCGCUUUGGAAAUGAUCCAGGUCCACGAGGCGCGGCAGCGGAGCACCCCGAAACGGGGAACUACACAGCAAAAUUGUGCAGCACACUGGUGAGCCUGGAGGUGAACAGACAGGUGCAGCAUCACAAACACCUACUACAACAACAGGGAAACCAAAAAGAUGUGAACUGUGCCCUACGAGAAAGGACAGGAAAACAAAAUGUAUGUACUCUCAGUGUAAGUGAUUCUUGUGUAUGGAACAUGCGGUUUUCACGUGUAAAGACUGCCUUGGGUAUGACAGUUGAAGCAAAGAGUAUUUUUGUUGUAGAAUUCUAUUGGUACUUUCAGUAUAGUUCACAUAUGAAUUUCAUUUUUUUUUUUUUAGGUUUUGUAAGCAAGUACAUAGCUGAUGUGAUGUUUAUUCUGAAUGCACAUAUAUAUUAAAAAUUUAAUACUUUAUUUUAUUGUUAUUUUAUGUUCCUGUUAACUACACAUUAUAUAAUGUAAUAAGAACCUAUUGACAAAGCAGCAAGACCAGUUAGAUGUCAAGUAUGUCCUACAAACAGGCCAGGAAAUCAAAACACAGUGCUGUCAGUAUAAGCAUUAUGUGUGUAUGCAAUAUGCUGUUGUCAUGUGUGAAAGUCUUAGGAAUUUAUUUGUGUUGUUCUUUUUUAAGUUUUGUAUGCCAAAUGCCAGUUGAUGUUGCAAAUUUUGAUGCUUUUU
RNAcentral lists this long non-coding RNA (1693 nucleotides) under Chinchilla lanigera (long-tailed chinchilla). RNAcentral's name for it is "lncRNA (ENSCLAG00000027525.1)". The record is from RNAcentral. Lineage: Eukaryota; Metazoa; Chordata; Mammalia; Rodentia; Chinchillidae.